GGGAAAGUUUUUCGGUGUAGGAUGAGACUAUAUAGUAUCAGCUAGUUGGUAAGGUAAUGGCUUACCAAGGCUAUGACGCUUAACUGGUCUGAGAGGAUGAUCAGUCACACUGGAACUGAGACACGGUCCAGACUCCUACGGGAGGCAGCAGUAGGGAAUAUUGCGCAAUGGGGGAAACCCUGACGCAGCAACGCCGCGUGGAGGAUGACACUUUUCGGAGCGUAAACUCCUUUUCUUAGGGAAGAAUUCUGACGGUACCUAAGGAAUAAGCACCGGCUAACUCCGUGCCAGCAGCCGCGGUAAUACGGAGGGUGCAAGCGUUACUCGGAAUCACUGGGCGUAAAGGGCGCGUAGGCGGAUUAUCAAGUCUCUUGUGAAAUCUAAUGGCUUAACCAUUAAACUGCUUGGGAAACUGAUAGUCUAGAGUGAGGGAGAGGCAGAUGGAAUUGGUGGUGUAGGGGUAAAAUCCGUAGAUAUCACCAAGAAUACCCAUUGCGAAGGCGAUCUGCUGGAACUCAACUGACGCUAAGGCGCGAAAGCGUGGGGAGCAAACAGGAUUAGAUACCCUGGUAGUCCACGCCCUAAACGAUGUACACUAGUUGUUGGGGUGCUAGUCAUCUCAGUAAUGCAGCUAACGCAUUAAGUGUACCGCCUGGGGAGUACGGUCGCAAGAUUAAAACUCAAAGGAAUAGACGGGGACCCGCACAAGCGGUGGAGCAUGUGGUUUAAUUCGAGGAUACGCGAAGAACCUUACCUGGGCUUGAUAUCCUAAGAACCUUUUAGAGAUAAGAGGGUGCUAGCUUGCUAGAACUUAGAGACAGGUGCUGCACGGCUGUCGUCAGCUCGUGUCGUGAGAUGUUGGGUUAAGUCCCGCAACGAGCGCAACCCACGUAUUUAGUUGCUAACGGUUCGGCCGAGCACUCUAAAUAGACUGCCUUCGUAAGGAGGAGGAAGGUGUGGACGACGUCAAGUCAUCAUGGCCCUUAUGCCCAGGGCGACACACGUGCUACAAUGGCAUAUACAAUGAGACGCAAUACCGCGAGGUGGAGCAAAUCUAUAAAAUAUGUCCCAGUUCGGAUUGUUCUCUGCAACUCGAGAGCAUGAAGCCGGAAUCGCUAGUAAUCGUAGAUCAGCCAUGCUACGGUGAAUACGUUCCCGGGUCUUGUACUCACCGCCCGUCACACCAUGGGAGUUGAUUUCACUCGAAGCCGGAAUACUAAACUAGUUACCGUCCACAGUGGAAUCAGCGACUGGGGUGAAGUCGUAACAAGGUAACCGUAGGAGAACCUGCGGUUGGAUCACCUCCUUUCUA
Molecule: ribosomal RNA, 1312 nt
Filed under: Campylobacter jejuni
Lineage: Bacteria; Pseudomonadati; Campylobacterota; Epsilonproteobacteria; Campylobacterales; Campylobacteraceae
Description: bacterial SSU rRNA
Rfam family: Bacterial small subunit ribosomal RNA
Source: RNAcentral